Molecule: long non-coding RNA, 1443 nt
Filed under: Cricetulus griseus (Chinese hamster)
Lineage: Eukaryota; Metazoa; Chordata; Mammalia; Rodentia; Cricetidae
Description: lncRNA (ENSCGRG00015040526.1)
Source: RNAcentral
UCUAAAGUCACAAAAUCUGGAAUUUGACUUGAUAUUUACUAGUCAGAAGUAAUUAUCCCAGUUAUUAGAAAGAAGGAAAUGGAAGCACAUAGACCCACAAGACAAAAACAGUCUGCCGGUGAUGGGGUGUCUCCAGAAAGCCACCUUCUUUAAGGGAACCGACUUCCUUCCACGUUACCCUUGAAAGAGGAUAGCUAGAAAAUCAGCACAGUAGCUCACUUCUGGGCAGAACUUCCUUUGCCUCUUCCCUUGGACAGUCCGGUUCCAUUGUCCAGCCCUGGAGAACAGAUGUGGGGUGGUGGAACUGAACUCUAUUCAAUAGCACAGGGUGGAUACAGCAGAAAUCGGUUCAGAUGCCCUAGUUCUUGGUUGCCUCUCACUCACCGUGACUGAAGUAAAAGUCAGUCCUGUCUCUAUGCAGUCUAUCAACCUCUUUUCACUAAGCCAGCAGCAAGCUCACUGCCCUGACUUCUACUCUCAGGAUUGGCAGCCUUCUCUCUCCGUACUCACCAGGACCAUACUAGUGCUCAGAGGGACACAGAAUGCUACAACCUUCCUUAAACAGAAACUGCAGAUGGUUUGUUUCCAUGCCACGAAGGCGCUGGCCGAUGCUUUGGCCGGCCCAGUGGAUCGUCGGAUCUGCAUUUCUCCAGUCUUGCUGGCCUGGGUGGCUGUGGAAGCGCCGGCUCUGAAAUGGAAUUUUGGCUGGAAGGGGUUGGGCCACACCGGCACAGACUGGAUGCGGGUGGUCACAGAGAGAUCCCCUUACACCUCAUCUCGCCUCCUCCCAAUUCUGGCAUUCCGCCAGCGCCGCCAGACCGGCCCUUCCCUGCGCCCACACGAGAGGAGCGGGAAGAGCGGCGCCCCAGGCCGGCCUCGCUAGCUAGUGGCCGCCCAAACUGGCCCCCAGCGCCCGGGUCCCGCCGGGACGCGCGCAUCCUGAACGGACUGCGAAGGCCCACAGAGCCAAAGCCCGGACCCCGCGCCCAAGCAGGGCGAGCACAGAGCGGGGCGGGGCGGGCCGCGCGGGCCGGGGGUGUCGGAUGUCACCCCCCGCGUACACCUCGGCCGGGAGGCGGGGAAGCGAACCACUGAGAUGAGGAGACCUCCUCGGUCCUAGAGCGGUGCAGGAAGUGUCCCAGGGGAGGGAGCCGGAGGGCUCCGGCCUUUCCUUUCCGCGGCGGCCCGGCCUGCGCGGCCCGCCAACCGGGACGCUGCUCAGCGGCGUCUCCCAAGCCCAGCUGAUGCUUUCUAGAUGAUCCCGAGAUCAUCUAGAGUCUGGCCCAUGCAGAGGAGCCACCUCGGCCGAGACACCAGAGAGACCGAGCUGGAAGGUGAGAACCUGCCGCCCUGCAAUCUCGGGCUUCGAGGUGAAGAGCCAGCAAACCUGGAAGAGUGUAAGCGACAGAAACCCCAUAGUUCUCCUGGCCUAAAACACCCUCC